This 377-nucleotide long non-coding RNA is filed under the name Setaria viridis. RNAcentral's name for it is "long non-coding RNA (SVIR_LNC009246)". Lineage: Eukaryota; Viridiplantae; Streptophyta; Magnoliopsida; Poales; Poaceae. The record is from RNAcentral.
AAAGUACGGAGGCGCGGUCGAGGAAGAAUGCUCAGAGGUCGCCAUUUUGGAUCUCGAAACCGAUUAGGGUAUAGAGAAACCUUAGCCAGCUUUGAUACCAAUUGAAGGACCGAAAUAGGUGACCAGAGGGGGGGGAUGGGAUCCAAUUCAAAAACUCUCCAAGAAAUUCAAUCUAAGUCCCAAAGUAGCCUUCAACGCUCUCUUCUAGCUAUUGUCAAGAUCACAUAGUCACAGCGGACCUACUAACCUUAGGAACAAUGCUAGGAAGGCUCAGAAGCAACACGGAAGUAAACCCAAAAGAUUGAGGCAAAACAGAGCUCAAAACACCUUCCAGGUAUCGAAACUUCUGACCAGUUAUCGGAACUUCCGGAAGUGGG